RNAcentral lists this ribosomal RNA (486 nucleotides) under uncultured bacterium. Its description in RNAcentral is "partial 16S ribosomal RNA". It matches the Rfam family "Bacterial small subunit ribosomal RNA", at positions 29 to 507 of the family's 1533-position model. The record is from RNAcentral.
AUUGAACGCUGGCGGCAUGCCUUACACAUGCAAGUCGAACGGCAGCACGGGUGCUUGCACCUGGUGGCGAGUGGCGAACGGGUGAGUAAUACAUCGGAACAUGUCCUGUAGUGGGGGAUAGCCCGGCGAAAGCCGGAUUAAUACCGCAUACGAUCUACGGAUGACAGCGGGGGACCUUCGGGCCUCGCGCUAUAGGGUUGGCCGAUGGCUGAUUAGCUAGUUGGUGGGGUAAAGGCCUACCAAGGCGACGAGCAGGAGCUGGUCUGAGAGGACGACCAGCCACACUGGGACUGAGACACGGCCCAGACUCCUACGGGAGGCAGCAGUGGGGAAUUUUGGACAAUGGGCGAAAGCCUGAUCCAGCAAUGCCGCGUGUGUGAAGAAGGCCUUCGGGUUGUAAAGCACUUUUGUCCGGAAAGAAAUCCUUGGCCCUAAUACGGUCGGGGGAUGACGGUACCGGAAGAAUAAGCACCGGCUAACUACGUG